This 396-nucleotide ribosomal RNA is filed under the name uncultured bacterium. RNAcentral's name for it is "bacterial SSU rRNA". It matches the Rfam family "Bacterial small subunit ribosomal RNA", at positions 29 to 431 of the family's 1533-position model. The record is from RNAcentral.
AUUGAACGCUGGCGGCAUGCCUUACACAUGCAAGUCGAACGGUAACGCGGGGCAACCUGGCGACGAGUGGCGAACGGGUGAGUAAUGCAUCGGAACGUGCCCAGUAGUGGGGGAUAGCCCGGCGAAAGCCGGAUUAAUACCGCAUACGACCUACGGGUGAAAGGGGGGGAUCGCAAGACCUCUCGCUAUUGGAGCGGCCGAUGUCAGAUUAGGUAGUUGGUGGGUAAAGGCCUGCCAAGCCUACGAUCUGUAGCUGGUCUGAGAGGACGACCAGCCACACUGGGACUGAGACACGGCCCAGACUCCUACGGGAGGCAGCAGUGGGAAUUUUGGACAAUGGCGCAAGCCUGAUCCAGCCAUGCCGCGUGCGGGAAGAAGGCCUUCGGGUUGUAACGC